CGUGUGCUCCUUCCGAUCUGACAGAUCCACUCCCAUGGACGGACAGACUGAAGAUGAACCAGGACUGAUGGACGUCCAUGUGAUGAUGUAGGUCCAGUCUGUAAAGGUGCAGUAGGGUGGGGGCACAUGAGAAGGACCAUCUAGUCAGAUGAGACAGGUGAGGGUGAGGAGGUCCAUCCAGCUAGGUGAGGGUGGGGUAGGAGGUCCAUCCAGCUAGGUGAGGGUGGGGUAGGAGGUCCAUCCAGCUAGGUGAGGGUGGGGUAGGAGGUCACAGGUCAGGACAGAGCACAGACGAGUCACCUCAGAUCCCGUCGUCAUUGGGCCCCAGGCAGCUACACCUAAAACAGUAGCCCCUCCCCCAGAGGGGAGUGGGGAAAAGGGACACCGGGUGAAAAGUGAUGAACAGAUUC
This is a long non-coding RNA of Sphaeramia orbicularis (orbiculate cardinalfish), 410 nucleotides long. RefSeq lists it as uncharacterized. The transcript is spliced from 3 exons. Lineage: Eukaryota; Metazoa; Chordata; Actinopteri; Kurtiformes; Apogonidae. The record is from RefSeq and is a predicted model, not a curated record.